This is a small nucleolar RNA of Macaca fascicularis (crab-eating macaque), 91 nucleotides long. The record is from Ensembl. NCBI's taxonomy places the organism in Eukaryota, Metazoa, Chordata, Mammalia, Primates, Cercopithecidae.
AUUUUUAUUUUUUAUAUGCCUAUUUUUAUCCUGUGGUGACAUGUGCCACCCUCAAACCUUGUGAUGACAUUGGCAUAUUACCCUUCUAACA